CGCCAGUGAGCGGCAUUUUUCCAGGGCUCUGCCUCAGUUCUGGCCUCUGGAUUGCUGGUUGAAUUCCUGUUCUGAUUUCCCUUCAGGACGAACUCUAAGUUGUAAGAACCUGACUGCCCCGUGGGCUCAGCUCCACUUGAGAGAUCUGUAGCCCAUGAGGUUUAGUGGAACAGCCGGGGAGGUGGCUGUGACGUUUCAGUGAGGCUGGUGAGGUGGCUCAGAGGUUAAAAGCACUGGCUGCUCUUCCACAGGCUCCGUGUUGGAUCCAUCGUCUGCAUGACACCUUCUUCCUGCCUCUGUGGAUCACAGGCAUGCACAGACAACACAUCCGUACCCA
This is a long non-coding RNA of Meriones unguiculatus (Mongolian gerbil), 337 nucleotides long. RefSeq lists it as uncharacterized. The transcript is spliced from 3 exons. The record is from RefSeq and is a predicted model, not a curated record. NCBI's taxonomy places the organism in Eukaryota, Metazoa, Chordata, Mammalia, Rodentia, Muridae.